Molecule: ribosomal RNA, 447 nt
Filed under: uncultured bacterium
Lineage: Bacteria
Description: partial 16S ribosomal RNA
Rfam family: Bacterial small subunit ribosomal RNA
Source: RNAcentral
AGCGAACGCUGGCGGCAGGCUUAACACAUGCAAGUCGAACGCCCCGCAAGGGGAGUGGCAGACGGGUGAGUAACACGUGGGAACGUACCCUUUGGUUCGGAAUAACUUGGGGAAACUCAAGCUAAUACCGGAUAAGCCCUUAUGGGGAAAGGUUUACUGCCGAAGGAUCGGCCCGCGUCUGAUUAGCUAGUUGGUGAGGUAACGGCUCACCACGGCGACGUUCAGUAGCUGGUCUGAGAGGAUGAUCAGCGACACUGGUACUGAGACACGGCCCAGACGCCUACGGUGGGCAGCAGUGGGGAAUAUUGGGCAAUGGGGGCAACCGUGAUACAGCCAUGCCGCGUGAGUGAUAAAGGCCUUAGGGUUGUAAAGCUCUUUUACCCGGUGCGAUAAUGACUGUACCGGGAGAAUAAGCCCCGGCUAACUUCGUGCCAGCCGCCGCGGUAA